CUUUCUUUUGUCGGCGGUGUGCAGAAGUGUAUACAAAGGAGAAGGUCGGGUCAUUCCAGCCACUCCCUAAACAUGGGGCAAACAUGUCUCGGGCGUCAGUCAGGAGAUGCAGCACGGCCCGCCGCGAGUCUGGCACCACAUCGGUUUCACUCAAACUAACUCCUCAGCCACAGCGGUGCUCGAGUCCAACCUGUACCCGCCCAAGCGUCUGCAACUCCCCGGCAUCCUGCUGCUGCUCCUCCUCAUCGGUGUCCUUGUGAAAGCAGUCCCAUCUCAAGAUCCUGCCACUACUGAAGAGAACCAAACCAGCGUGUCUUAACCUCCCAACCUGCGAUAGGAAACCGAGUCGUCUUCCACUGGAAGACGCUAACCGUCUCGCUGCACAUUGCAUGGAGGAAUUGGACUCUGCCUCGCACCAUCUGACUACCACGCUAACGGUCUCGCUGCACAUUGCAUGGAGGAAUUGGACUCUGCCUCGCACCAUCUGACUACCACGCUAACGGUCUCGCUGCACAUUGCAUGGAGGAAUUGGACUCUGCCUCGCACCAUCUGACUACCACGCUAACGGUCUCGCUGCACAUUGCAUGGAGGAAUUGGACUCUGCCUCGCACCAUCUGACUACCUCGCUUCUAACGGUCUAACCUAACCAAUACAUGUUGUCGAUCACUCUUGUAAUGUUAUUUAUUCCUUCCAUUUAAUGUACAUGUUGUCGAUCACUCUUGUAAAUGUUGUUCAUUCAUUCCAUUUUAUGUUAAUGUACCCACUUAACUGGUUAAGUAUUAAUAAAUCAUAAAAUUGA
RNAcentral lists this long non-coding RNA (799 nucleotides) under Portunus trituberculatus (swimming crab). RNAcentral describes it as "uncharacterized LOC123517781, transcript variant X1". The record is from RNAcentral. Lineage: Eukaryota; Metazoa; Arthropoda; Malacostraca; Decapoda; Portunidae.